GACGAACGCUGGCGGCGUGCUUAACACAUGCAAGUCGAACGGUAAGGCGCCUUUGUGGGUACGCGAGUGGCGAACGGGGAAGUAACACGUGAGUAACGAGCACUCUGCUCCCGGAUACCGUCAAGCAACUGGGGCGAAUACCGGAUAGGAAUCCUUGCUGCACGGUGGGGGGUGGAAAGUGUCGGCGGUUUUGGAUGGACUCGCGGCUUAUCAGGUUGUUGGUGGGGUAGUGGAUUACCAAGGCUUUGACGGGUAGCCGGCCUGAGAGGGCGACAGGCAACAUUGAGACUGAGACACGGCGCAGACGCCGACGGGAGGCAGCAGUGGGGAAUAUUGCGCAAUGGGCGGACGGCGGAUGCAGCAGCGCCGCGUGCGGGAUGACGCCCUUCGGGUUGUAAACCGCGUUCAGCAGGGGCGAAGCUUGUGUUGACGGUACCUGCAGAAGAAGCACCGGCUAACUACGUG
This 465-nucleotide ribosomal RNA is filed under the name uncultured bacterium. RNAcentral's name for it is "partial 16S ribosomal RNA". It matches the Rfam family "Bacterial small subunit ribosomal RNA", at positions 28 to 507 of the family's 1533-position model. The record is from RNAcentral.